RNAcentral lists this ribosomal RNA (279 nucleotides) under uncultured bacterium. Its description in RNAcentral is "partial 16S ribosomal RNA". It matches the Rfam family "Bacterial small subunit ribosomal RNA", at positions 506 to 784 of the family's 1533-position model. The record is from RNAcentral.
UGCCAGCAGCCGCGGUAAGACAGAGGGUGCAAACGUUGUUCGGAAUUACUGGGCGUAAAGCGCGUGUAGGCGGUUCGUUAAGUCUGAUGUGAAAGCCCGGGGCUCAACCCCGGAAGUGCAUUGGAAACUGGCGAACUUGAGUACGGGAGAGGAAAGUGGAAUUCCGAGUGUAGGGGUGAAAUCCGUAGAUAUUCGGAGGAACACCAGUGGCGAAGGCGGCUUUCUGGACUGGUACUGACGCUGAGGUGCGAAAGUGUGGGGGGCAAACAGGAUUAGAUA